GCAUGAAGUCGGAAUUGCUAGUAAUCGCGGAUCAGCAUGCCGCGGUGAAUACGUUCCCGGGCCUUGUACACACCGCCCGUCACACCAUGAGAGCCGGUAACACCCGAAGUCAAUAGUCUAACCGCAAGGAGGACAUUGCCGAAGGUGGGAUUGGUAAUUGGGGUGAAGUCGUAACAAGGUACC
This 183-nucleotide ribosomal RNA is filed under the name uncultured bacterium. RNAcentral describes it as "partial 16S ribosomal RNA". It matches the Rfam family "Bacterial small subunit ribosomal RNA", at positions 1318 to 1500 of the family's 1533-position model. The record is from RNAcentral.